Long non-coding RNA from Pecten maximus, 554 nucleotides. RefSeq lists it as uncharacterized. The record is from RefSeq and is a predicted model, not a curated record. Lineage: Eukaryota; Metazoa; Mollusca; Bivalvia; Pectinida; Pectinidae. The transcript has 2 exons.
AGCAACGUUGUUUUCUCGACGUUGAAGAUUUGUUGAAAAAUGACAUUGAAACAACGUUGAUUUUUUUCAAUUUUAUCGACAUUGGUUAAAAGUCGACGUUGUGAAAAUGUUGACACAACGACCGCUUUUCAACAUAAAUAUCUUUUGGAUUAAAUAGUGUUAUUCCAUCAGUGAUUGAUAAUAAAAAGUGCACUACUUGCUACAACUUUCUAUAAAAUAUAAUACCGCGGUACAUAGUCCAUUAUUGCGAUUAUUAAAACGAAAUUAACAGUCCGGAUAAUACAUAGCGCCUAUCCCGCAGCGGGCAAGCGCAUGCGCAUUGUAAGUACAAUUUGAAAUCCAGUGUUUACAAUGCCACGGAAGACGGGAAGCCGAAAAGAAAGUUAACAGUUUCUGUCCUUUCUCUGAAGAAGGAUGCACUGAAAACCAUUCACAGACUACAUGUACAGAUGUCCUAAUAAUUCAAAGUAUGGCCCAGAACCAGUAGACGGAGAUGCCGACCGCUAACUUCACAAGUUUAAAAAAUAAAUAAAUAAAGUAUGCAUUGAAAAAUA